GAUGAAUGCUGGCGGCAUGCUUAACACAUGCAAGUCGAACGGGAAGUGGUGUUUCCAGUGGCGAACGGGUGAGUAACGCGUAAGAACCUGCCCUUGGGAGGGGAACAACAACUGGAAACGGUUGCUAAUACCCCGUAGGCUGAGGAGCAAAAGGAGAAAUCCGCCCAAGGAGGGGCUCGCGUCUGAUUAGCUAGUUGGUGAGGUAAUAGCUUACCAAGGCGAUGAUCAGUAGCUGGUCCGAGAGGAUGAUCAGCCACACUGGGACUGAGACACGGCCCAGACUCCUACGGGAGGCAGCAGUGGGGAAUUUUCCGCAAUGGGCGAAAGCCUGACGGAGCAAUGCCGCGUGGAGGUGGAAGGCCUACGGGUCGUCAACUUCUUUUCUCGGAGAAGAAACAAUGACGGUAUCUGAGGAAUAAGCAUCGGCUAACUCUGUG
This 437-nucleotide ribosomal RNA is filed under the name uncultured bacterium. Its description in RNAcentral is "partial 16S ribosomal RNA". It matches the Rfam family "Bacterial small subunit ribosomal RNA", at positions 28 to 507 of the family's 1533-position model. The record is from RNAcentral.